CACAGUGAAAGAGGAAGAGGGGAUGGAGGUUGUCAUAGUGGAAGAAGAGGUAGAAGCUUUCAGAAUGAAAGAUGAGAUAGAGGAGGAUAUCACAUUGAAAGAAGAAGAACCUUUUGUGGUGAAAGAGGAGGAGACUGAAGAUCCGAUUAACACCAAUCCAAAAACGAGGCCAUAUGCAGUUUCCUGGCCCUCCCAGGGCUCUACAGUGAAGGAGGACAUCAGAAAGAUGCAGGAAGAAUCUAAUGUGACACCCGACAUGUCUUUCCGUCUCCCAGAGUCCCCAGGUCGUGCCUCUCCCAAUGUUGCCUUACUGUGGGGUCUGAAGAGGGUGUCUGUGCGGCUGGUCGACUGCAGGAAAACACCGGGUCUGCGUGGAACUGUGAGAGGAGAAGAAGAGGGAGAUUCAGAUUCAAGGCGAUGUUGGGAGGUUGGUCUGGUGUCCCCCGGGGCGAUGUUGGGAGGUAGGUCUGGUGUCCCCCGGGGUGAUGUUGGGAGGUAGGUCUGGUGUCCCCCGGGGUGAUGUUGGGAGGUUGGUCUGGUGUCCCCCAGGGUGAGGUUGGUCUGGUGGUUCAACUUUGAAGUCUGGGUCUUUGUAUAUGACCUGUUUUAUCUUCCCGCCGCAUUACAGUCUGCUGGACCAAUGGUGUUCUAGACAGCCUGCUGGACCAAUGGGGUCCUAGACAGUCUGCUGGACCAAUGGGGUUCUAG
Oncorhynchus tshawytscha (Chinook salmon) is the source of this 708-nucleotide long non-coding RNA. The record is from Ensembl. Lineage: Eukaryota; Metazoa; Chordata; Actinopteri; Salmoniformes; Salmonidae.